Molecule: ribosomal RNA, 497 nt
Filed under: uncultured bacterium
Lineage: Bacteria
Description: partial 16S ribosomal RNA
Rfam family: Bacterial small subunit ribosomal RNA
Source: RNAcentral
GAUGAACGCUGGCGGCGUGCCUAAUACAUGCAAGUCGAGCGAACAGACGAGGAACUUGCUCCUCUGACGUUAGCGGCGGACGGGUGAGUAACACGUGGAUAACCUACCUAUAAGACUGGGAUAACUUCGGGAAACCGGAGCUAAUACCGGAUAAUAUAUUGAACCGCAUGGUUCAAUAGUGAAAGACGGUUUUGCUGUCACUUAUAGAUGGAUCCGCGCCGCAUUAGCUAGUUGGUAAGGUAACGGCUUACCAAGGCGACGAUGCGUAGCCGACCUGAGAGGGUGAUCGGCCACACUAGAACUGAGACACGGUCCAGACUCCUACGGGAGGCAGCAGUAGGGAAUCUUCCGCAAUGGGCGAAAGCCUGACGGAGCAACGCCGCGUGAGUGAUGAAGGUCUUCGGAUCGUAAAACUCUGUUAUUAGGGAAGAACAAAUGUGUAAGUAACUAUGCACGUCUUGACGGUACCUAAUCAGAAAGCCACGGCUAACUACGUG